CUCUUUCUCCACAGCUGCAACGCUCAUGAUUACUUCCCUGGCUGCUGCACUCAGCGAUCACUCCUGGUGGGGCUCAGGGGACCACAGGGCGUACCAGGGAUAGAACCCGGUGGGCCACAUGCAAGGCCGCGUCCUGUGUACCUCCUCGAGCCCGGCCAGAACCCCAGAGGUCACACAGGUGAUGCAGCUGAGUGAGGAGACAAGAGCCGAUUCUGCACUCCAAGGCGCCAGGGAGAGAGCGCCGGCCGGACCAGAGAGCGAGGACUCAGCAAAGAGGCCACGGGCAGCUGACCCAGAGGCCCACGGGUCUGACCACACAGGCCAGAGGGACCAAGCGGGUCUCAAUACGCCUGCUUCGCACCCUCUGCCCUGGCUGGGGGAGAAAAGGCUUUGGCGUGGGGUGGUCACCAUGCUCUGCUCCAGGCCAGGGCCAGGGUACGGGGCAGCAGGGGGCUUUGGAUUCUGCUACACUGCCAAGGAAAGAGAAGCUGGUGCCACCCGCCUGAAGACCAUAAGGAACACACAGCUUUGCCAAGGAGCAAAUUCUGUUCUGCCCCCUGCAGAAAUAUGGGCCCCCAGGGGGCCCUCACACAGGGCCCAGGGGUCAUUCGGGCAUCCUGCACCCCCAAUCCCGCAAAAAAGGGGGUUAGAAUGAGUUAAAAAUAAAUGAGAGGGCUGGGGCUGGAGCGAUAGCACAGCAGGUAGGGUGUUUGCCUUGCACGCGGCCG
This is a long non-coding RNA of Sorex araneus (European shrew), 728 nucleotides long. RefSeq lists it as uncharacterized. The transcript is spliced from 3 exons. The record is from RefSeq and is a predicted model, not a curated record. NCBI's taxonomy places the organism in Eukaryota, Metazoa, Chordata, Mammalia, Eulipotyphla, Soricidae.